CCUACGGGCGGCAGCAGUGGGGGAUAUUGCACAAUGGGGGAAACCCUGAUGCAGCGACGCCGCGUGGGUGAAGAAGCGCCUCGGCGCGUAAAGCCCUGUCAGCAGGGAAGAAAAUGACGGUACCUGAAGAAGAAGCCCCGGCUAACUACGUGCCAGCAGCCGCGGUAAUACGUAGGGGGCAAGCGUUAUCCGGAUUUACUGGGUGUAAAGGGGGCGCAGACGGCGAUGCAAGCCAGGAGUGAAAGCCCGGGGCUCAACCCCGGGACUGCUUUUGAAACUGCGUGGCUGGAGUGCAGGAGGGGCAGGCGGAAUUCCUGGUGUAGCGGUGAAAUGCGUAGAUAUCAGGAGGAACACCGGUGGCGAAGGCGGCCUGCUGGACUGCAACUGACGUUGAGGCCCGAAAGCGUGGGGAGCAAACAGGAUUAGAUACCCGUGUAGUC
Molecule: ribosomal RNA, 440 nt
Filed under: uncultured bacterium
Lineage: Bacteria
Description: partial 16S ribosomal RNA
Rfam family: Bacterial small subunit ribosomal RNA
Source: RNAcentral